Molecule: unclassified non-coding RNA, 147 nt
Filed under: soil metagenome
Description: partial internal transcribed spacer 1
Source: RNAcentral
CCGAGUUUACAACUCCCAAACCCCUGUGAACAUACCACUUGUUGCCUCGGCGGAUCAGCCCGCUCCCGGUAAAACGGGACGGCCCGCCAGAGGACCCCUAAACUCUGUUUCUAUAUGUGACUUCUGAGUAAAACCAUAAAUAAAUCA